RNAcentral lists this ribosomal RNA (1356 nucleotides) under uncultured Eubacteriales bacterium. RNAcentral describes it as "bacterial SSU rRNA". It matches the Rfam family "Bacterial small subunit ribosomal RNA", at positions 28 to 1382 of the family's 1533-position model. Lineage: Bacteria; Bacillati; Bacillota; Clostridia; Eubacteriales. The record is from RNAcentral.
GAUGAACGCCGGCGGCGUGCCUAACACAUGCAAGUCGAGCGAGAUGUUCGGUUGCCGAGAUUUCGGUCAAGGCGCCUUACGGAAAGCGGCGGACGGGUGAGUAACGCGUAGGCAACCUGCCCACAGGCGAGGGACAGCCUCGGGAAACCGUGGUUAAUACCUCAUAAUGCGAAAAGCCCUCAUGGGCCUUUCGCCAAAGAUUUAUCGUCUGUGGAUGGGCCUGCGUCUGAUUAUGCCUGUUGGCGGGGUAACGGCCCACCAAAGCUACGAUCAGUAACCGACCUGAGAGGGUAAUCGGUCACAUUGGAACUGAGACACGGUCCAAACUCCUGCGGGAGGCAGCAGUGGGGAAUAUUGCACAAUGGGCGAAAGCCUGAUGCAGCAACGCCGCGUGAGCGACGACGGUCCUAUGGAUUGUAAAGCUCUGAUCUGAGGGAAGAAACAAAUGACGGUACCUCAGGAGAAAGCCCCGGCUAACUACGUGCCAGCAGCCGCGGUAAUACGUAGGGGGCAAGCGUUAUCCGGAUUUAUUGGGCGUAAAGGGUGCGUAGGUGGCUUGCCAAGCGCGGGGUGAAAGGCAAUGGCUUAACCAUUGUGAGCCUUGCGAACUGGCUGGCUUGAGUGCAGGAGGGGAAAGCGGAACUCCCAGUGUAGCGGUGAAAUGCGUAGAUAUUGGGAAGAACACCGGUGGCGAAGGCGGCUUUCCGGACUGUAACUGACACUGAGGCACGAAAGCGUGGGGAGCAAACAGGAUUAGAUACCCUGGUAGUCCACGCCGUAAACGAUGAGUACUAGGUGUCGGGGCCCAAAAGCCUCGGUGCCGAAGUUAACGCAUUAAGUACUCCGCCUGGGGAGUACGCACGCAAGUGUGAAACUCAAAGGAAUUGACGGGGACCCGCACAAGCAGCGGAGCAUGUGGUUUAAUUCGAAGCAACGCGAAGAACCUUACCAGGGCUUGACAUCCCCCCGAUCGGCGUGUAACGGCGCCUUUCCUUCGGGACGGGGGAGACAGGUGGUGCAUGGUUGUCGUCAGCUCGUGUCGUGAGAUGUUGGGUUAAGUCCCGCAACGAGCGCAACCCUUGUCAUUAGUUGCCAUCGCGUUAUGGCGGGCACUCUAAUGAGACUGCCGGGGAUAACUCGGAGGAAGGUGGGGAUGACGUCAAAUCAUCAUGCCCCUUAUGUUCUGGGCUACACACGUGCUACAAUGGCCGGUACAAAGAGACGCAAUGCAGCGAUGCGGAGCAAAUCAGGAAAACCGGCCCCAGUUCGGAUUGCAGGCUGAAACCCGCCUGCAUGAAGCCGGAGUUGCUAGUAAUCGUGAAUCAGAAUGUCACGGUGAAUACGUUCCCGGGUCUU